Molecule: ribosomal RNA, 465 nt
Filed under: Vreelandella stevensii
Lineage: Bacteria; Pseudomonadati; Pseudomonadota; Gammaproteobacteria; Oceanospirillales; Halomonadaceae
Description: partial 16S ribosomal RNA
Rfam family: Bacterial small subunit ribosomal RNA
Source: RNAcentral
CCUACGGGAGGCUGCAGUGGGGAAUAUUGGACAAUGGGGGGAACCCUGAUCCAGCCAUGCCGCGUGUGUGAAGAAGGCCCUCGGGUUGUAAAGCACUUUCAGUGAGGAAGAACGCCUGGUGGUUAAUACCCAUCAGGAAAGACAUCACUCACAGAAGAAGCACCGGCUAACUCCGUGCCAGCAGCCGCGGUAAUACGGAGGGUGCGAGCGUUAAUCGGAAUUACUGGGCGUAAAGCGCGCGUAGGUGGCUUGAUAAGCCGGUUGUGAAAGCCCCGGGCUCAACCUGGGAACGGCAUCCAGAACUGUCAAGCUAGAGUGCAGGAGAGGAAGGUAGAAUUCCCGGUGUAGCGGUGAAAUGCGUAGAGAUCGGGAGGAAUACCAGUGGCGAAGGCGGCCUUCUGGACUGACACUGACACUGAGGUGCGAAAGCGUGGGUAGCAAACAGGAUUAGAUACCCCUGUAGUC